ACACCUCAACUCUCAUGGUUUGCUGUGAUGAGCUUGGACUCUGGGGGUUUUGCUGGCCUGUGGUCAGCUCCCCUCAAAUGAAUCAGCCUCCCAGUGUUUGGUGGCAUCACGGGUGUGAUAAAUAUCUAUGCUCGUGGUUGUCUGCCAGGUAACCUUUGGUGACAAAGGUUUGCUGGAGCUCACAGAUGUCUCUCCUCAGUGAGGACAGCUUUUUGAAC
RNAcentral lists this unclassified non-coding RNA (218 nucleotides) under uncultured Tomentella. Its description in RNAcentral is "sequence contains ITS2". The record is from RNAcentral. Lineage: Eukaryota; Fungi; Basidiomycota; Agaricomycetes; Thelephorales; Thelephoraceae.